This 429-nucleotide ribosomal RNA is filed under the name Bacillota bacterium. Its description in RNAcentral is "Firmicutes bacterium partial 16S ribosomal RNA". It matches the Rfam family "Bacterial small subunit ribosomal RNA", at positions 355 to 776 of the family's 1533-position model. Lineage: Bacteria; Bacillati; Bacillota. The record is from RNAcentral.
UAGGGAAUCUUCGGCAAUGGACGGAAGUCUGACCGAGCAACGCCGCGUGAGUGAAGAAGGUUUUCGGAUCGUAAAGCUCUGUUGUUAGAGAAGAACGUUGGUAGGAGUGGAAAAUCUACCAAGUGACGGUAACUAACCAGAAAGGGACGGCUAACUACGUGCCAGCAGCCGCGGUAAUACGUAGGUCCCGAGCGUUGUCCGGAUUUAUUGGGCGUCAAGCGAGCGCAGGCGGUUCUUUAAGUCUGAAGUUAAAGGCAGUGGCUUAACCAUUGUACGCUUUGGAAACUGGAGGAGUUGAGUGCAGAAGGGGAGAGUGGAAUUCCAUGUGUAGCGGUGAAAUGCGUAGAUAUAUGGAGGAACACCGGUGGCGAAAGCGGCUCUCUAGUCUGUAACUGACGCUGAGGCUCGAAAGCGUGGGGAGCAAACAGG